RNAcentral lists this ribosomal RNA (253 nucleotides) under uncultured bacterium. RNAcentral describes it as "partial 16S ribosomal RNA". It matches the Rfam family "Bacterial small subunit ribosomal RNA", at positions 524 to 776 of the family's 1533-position model. The record is from RNAcentral.
UACGUAGGGUGCGAGCGUUAAUCGGAAUUACUGGGCGUAAAGCGUGCGCAGGCGGUUUUGUAAGCCAGAUGUGAAAUCCCCGGGCUUAACCUGGGAAUGGCAUUUGGGACUGCAAGGCUUGAGUGCGGCAGAGGAGACUGGAAUUCCUGGUGUAGCAGUGAAAUGCGAAGAUAUCAGGAGGAACACCGAUGGCGAAGGCAGGUCUCUGGGCUGACACUGACGCUCAUGCACGAAAGCGUGGGGAGCAAACAGG